UACGUAGGGUGCAAGCGUUGUCCGGAAUUAUUGGGCGUAAAGAGCGUGUAGGCGGCCCGGUUAGUCCGCUGUGAAAGUCCAGGGCUCAACCCUGGAAUGCCGGUGGAUACUGUCGGGCUAGAGUCCGGAAGGGGCGAGUGGAAUUCCUGGUGUAGCGGUGAAAUGCGCAGAUAUCAGGAGGAACACCGAUGGCGAAGGCAGGUCUCUGGGCAUUAACUGACGCUGAGGAGCGAAAGCAUGGGAGCGAACAGG
RNAcentral lists this ribosomal RNA (252 nucleotides) under uncultured bacterium. RNAcentral describes it as "partial 16S ribosomal RNA". It matches the Rfam family "Bacterial small subunit ribosomal RNA", at positions 524 to 776 of the family's 1533-position model. The record is from RNAcentral.